This 337-nucleotide unclassified non-coding RNA is filed under the name soil metagenome. RNAcentral's name for it is "partial contains 5.8S ribosomal RNA, internal transcribed spacer 2, and large subunit ribosomal RNA". The stretch from base 1 to 120 matches the Rfam family "5.8S ribosomal RNA", at positions 35 to 154 of the family's 154-position model. The record is from RNAcentral.
GAUGAAGAACGAAGCGAAAUGCGAUAAGUAAUGUGAAUUGCAGAAUUCAGUGAAUCAUCGAAUCUUUGAACGCACAUUGCGCCCGCCAGUAUUCUGGCGGGCAUGCCUGUUCGAGCGUCAUUUCAACCAUCAAGCCCCCGGGCUUGUGUUGGGGACCUGCGGCUGCCCGCAGGCCCUGAAAACCAGUGGCGGGCUCGCUGUCACACCGAGCGUAGUAGCAUCAUCUCGCUCAGGGCGUGCUGCGGGUUCCGGCCGUUAAAAAGCCUCUAAUACCCAAGGUUGACCUCGGAUCAGGUAGGAAGACCCGCUGAACUUAAGCAUAUCAAUAAGCGGAGGA